This 399-nucleotide unclassified non-coding RNA is filed under the name Scutia myrtina. RNAcentral's name for it is "partial contains external transcribed spacer and 18S ribosomal RNA". Lineage: Eukaryota; Viridiplantae; Streptophyta; Magnoliopsida; Rosales; Rhamnaceae. The record is from RNAcentral.
UUCCUUCGCGAUGCCGGUGCCGCGUGCGCCCAACGCCACUGGGGUCGAAAGGCCACAACGGACGCGACAAUCGUGCAAAACUAGCAAUUAGAGCUAUAAUGCCGGACGUUCGAAGGCCAUAGACCCCCACGCCCACAUGUUCCGCAUCCGAGGGGACGAGCAUGCACGCGCGGACCGUGGCUGCCACACAACAAGUUGAGGGUCGCCGGGGACGCGCGUGCUGCUUUGAUGUCCUCCUCACACCCGCGGAGGGCGCAAGGAGGAAAGGGGCACCGUUGGCAACUAAUUCCGUCACAUUAGGUAUGCAACACAAGAACCCAAGAGGCUUGAGAGACGCAUGGUCCUCGCAGCAAAACAAUGAGAGGUAGCCGAGCGCAAGCAGUUCGAUGCCCAAAGCAC